RNAcentral lists this long non-coding RNA (2418 nucleotides) under Astyanax mexicanus (Mexican tetra). Its description in RNAcentral is "lncRNA (ENSAMXG00005016334.1)". Lineage: Eukaryota; Metazoa; Chordata; Actinopteri; Characiformes; Acestrorhamphidae. The record is from RNAcentral.
AAGCAUCAAAACUCAUUCUCUCUUCUCCAGUCUCUCCUAGUUCACUCUCAUCUUCUCAGUGUCCUGAAUUGCUCUAUGUCUCCAUGUCCUCUCACACCGACCUGUUAAGACACCUGAGCGUUCAGAAUGUGCGUAGCGUCUUUGGACAAGGACUAGCUGUCUGGUCCAGCCUGGAGGAAGAGGAUGAGGGGGAGGGGGGUCGAGUAAAACAUAGAGAGCCACCAGGCAGAUGUUUGGAAUAUGUGGUGCCCAAUGGCAUCAUAGAAGAAGGCAGGGCAAUGAUGGAGGAAGGGCACAGAUAUCUAGAGCCUAUUUAAAGGGCUUGCAGACACUGAGACUGGCCAUUAGAUGUGUUUCUAAAGGCAACCAGCUCUUCCACACAUCUGUCUGUCUGUUUGGUCGCCUGUUCUUCUCUGUGUGUCCGUCUGUCUGUCUCGUCUGCUGCCAUGUUGGGACAGAGACUCCUGCAGACUUCAGUGGUGCUGUGGCUGGCACAGGUCACUUUACAAGGAGGUGUCAGACCCCAAACUGGAGCUCUAGGGAGAUUGGUGCCAAGUCGAGGUGCUAGUCUUGGUGCUGUUGGUCUGGGUGCCAAGCCAGGAGUAGGUGCUGGUAUUCUCGGAAGCCGUGGCUAUGGAGGCAAAGCUGCAAAGGCAGGCACUGGCCGUUACCUUGGAGCGGGAGGAUACAGGCCGUUACAAAGUAGAGGAGGAAUGAAGCAAGGCUACGGAGGAGCUCUCGGAGGUUAUGGUGCUGCUCUUGGAGCAGGACUUGGGAACGGUCUGGGAAUGGCUCUGGGAGCUCAGGCAGGAAAACUUGGACGAGGAUACACUAAUGGCUAUGGACUCCAGCCAGGUUACGGCGCUGGUGUAUACCCUGGCGUUGGACGCGGCAGUGGGCUUGGAGGAGGACUACCCAUUUCACAGGGGGGGAAAGGCAAUGGAUAUGGUCAAACUCCAGGAGUACCAAAUGGACAAGGUGCUCCAGUCAACGGUUACGCCCCCUCACCUCUGGGUCCCACUGCACAGGGAGGGUAUGGCUCUGGAGCUGGAGUAAUGAAUGGAAAGGGAGCUAAAGCUAAUGGCUACGGCCCGGCCGCAGGAGUGUCUAAUGGAGCCGGAGGAAUGAGCAACGGCUAUGGACCUGGGCCAGCAGGAGUAAACGGACAAGGUGGUAAAGGAGGAGCCAUGUUCCGUGGAAAUGGUGGCAAACCGUCCAAGACUGGAUAUAAUCUUGGAUUGGGCAGCUAUCCCGGAGCAGGACUAACUAAUGGAUAUGGAGCAGGCUAUGGCAAUGUGUAUGGCUUUAAUGGAUAUGAUGGUGGCUAUGGAGCUGAGCUUGGCUAUCCGGCAGCGCUUGGCGAUGCCACUGGGCUUGGAAGCAAGGCUGGUCUGGGAGCUGGAGGCUUUGCAUCUCCAACACUGGGACUCAGCGCUGGCCUGGGAACUGGUCUCGGCACAGACGCCAAGUCUGCUAAGUAUGGUGGCGCCACUCCUGGUUCUGUGCUCGGUGCUGCUGGAGGUCAGCCAGUUGUGUCUGCGGGACUCGGCCCUCAAGGCAAAACAGGUGGCUAUGGAGGCGCUCCUUACGUGGGACAGACAGCAGGCCUGGUACCUGACGCUUCUCUGGGUGGAACUGGUGGAGUCCUGGAACCUGUGACUGGUGGAGGUGUGGGUCAGUAUCCUUACAAUGGAGCAGGAGUUGUCCCAGCCGGACUGGAAGGUGAAAAUGGAUAUGGAUACGGACCUCAGCAGCUCAGUAUGGGAACUGAUGGAGGCAAAUUAGCAUAUGGGGAGGGAGGAGCCUAUGCAGCACAGCCAGCAGGCUAUGGUGCAGCCAUGGGGGCCGGAGGUCAGGGUCCUUACGGAGGAGGAAAGGACGAGAGCAAGUACAACCUGGGUGGUCUCUACGGAAACAGAAUCAAAGGCUGAUGUCUCAUGUGACUUGAGCGUGAAUUUGGCUUCGUCCCCAUCCGUGUGUCCCCACAUCCUCCAUCACUGUUUAGUUUAAUGUGCCAGUGUGUGUCAUCCGCCUGCUGUGUUUUAGCUGUAAUUUAGUCCUUGUCAUCCUUGUCCUUGUUUGUUCAUGUGUGUAUGUGUGUGUGUGACUAUGUGUUUGUAUGUUUGUGUGUGUGUGAGAGUGUGUGUGUUCUUAUUGUAAUGAUGGUCCUAGAUUGUGUCGUUUGUGUUUCCUCCCUCCUUCUUCGCUGUUUUUGGGAGCGUGUCCGACUCCUGUUGUUGGUCCCUGUAUCCAACUAAAACCUUUUGCGCACUACUUUUGGUUGUUACUGUAAUUCUUAUCAAGACUAAACAUGUCCCCUCACUUCUGUGACUAAUUGUGUUGUUUCCACAAACAUGUGAAGAUUGACAAAAGUGAUAUAUAUGAACAUAUUGACAACUUGUAAAUGGAUAUAGAGAA